GACGAACGUUGGCGGCGUGCUUAAUACAUGCAAGUCAACUGAAGCAGUGGUAGCAAUAUCGCUGUGGAGGUGGCGCACGGGUGAGUAACACGUAGGUAAUCUGCCUUCAGGUCUGGCAUAACUCCGGGAAACCGGGGCUAAUAGCAGAUGAUGCAGCGGCUCGACAUCGAGACAGUUGUUAAAGCUAUGGCGCCUGAAGAUGAGCCUGCGUCUGAUUAGCUAGUUGGCGGGGUAACGGCCCACCAAGGCAACGAUCAGUAGCUGGUCUGAGAGGAUGAUCAGCCACACUGGAACUGAGACACGGUCCAGACUCCUACGGGAGGCAGCAGUAAGGAAUAUUGCUCAAUGGGAGAAAUCCUGAAGCAGCAACGCCGCGUGAGGAACGAAGGGCUUUUGCUUGUAAACCUCUGUAGUGAGAGAAAAAAAUCCCAAUCUUUGGGACAUGAUGGUAUCUCAAAAGUAAGCCCCGGCUAACUACGUG
RNAcentral lists this ribosomal RNA (481 nucleotides) under uncultured bacterium. Its description in RNAcentral is "partial 16S ribosomal RNA". It matches the Rfam family "Bacterial small subunit ribosomal RNA", at positions 28 to 507 of the family's 1533-position model. The record is from RNAcentral.